AGCAGAACUCCUUCUUUACAAAAACAGUAUCAGUCUGUGGCAUAGGAUCACACUAUUCGACCCUUCUAUUGGCCUCAAAAUGGAGCCCUUUCUGUCCCCUGUGCUGUCUCCUGUGCUGGAAUAGCUCAGCAACACUCCCCACACUUUCUUUGAAUUAGGAUUUUGAAAAAGAGCAGAAAGACUCGGUGCCCGGGAGAGAAAGACCCAUUCCAGUUCACAAAGACUUAACCAGACUAGGCAGAGAGACUUCUGGCUGCCUGGACAGAGAAGAGACCUAUAUCAAUAAAUCCUUUACAUAAUCACCCUGCUGUUAGCAACAAGUGUCAAUAGAUCCAGAGGUUUGCAGCUUAUGGCUUCAGCGUAACUUAAAGUCAAGAUAGGCACAUGUUAUAGAAAGCAACCUUACUCCCUUGCAAGACCAAGUCUUGCCCUGCUGAAUUCUAUCCCCUUCUCUUCCAUAAGACUCCCCCAAUUGCUACCUAAAUGUUUGGCUAUGGGUCUUUGCAUCUGUUUCCAUCAGCUGCUGGGUGAAGCCUCUCAGAUGACAUCUAUCUAGGUUCCUGUCUGCAAGCACAGCAGAGGAUCAUUAAUAGUGUCAGGGGUUGGUUCUCUUCCAUGGGGUGGGUCUCAAGUUGGGGCAGUCAUUGGUUGGCUGUUCCCUCAGUCUCGGCUCCAUCUUUAACCGGUGUGCAUCUUGUUGGAGGGACAAAUUUUGUGGGUCUGUUGAUGUUCCCCUCCCUCUAUUGGAAGUUCCCCUGGAGAUGGGCACUUCAGUUUUCAAAUCCCCAGCUACUAGGAUGUUAAGAACCUCAGCUAGAAUCACCUCCAUAGAUGCCUGGCAGCCUGCUUCAUCCCAGGUCUCAGGCCCCUCUCAGAGAUGUGCCCCCCAUUUUUGUACUCUCUCCCAGCUCUCUCCAAACCUGACUCCACACAUCUGAUCCCCCCUCCAUUUUCUCUCCCCACCCCAUAUCCCACCUAGUUCCCUCCCUCCCUCCAUCUCCAAUAUUUAUUUUACUUCCCUAUCUGAGUAAGAUUCAAGCAUCCUAACUUGAACCCUCAUUGUUAGAGUCUUUGGAUUUGUGGAUCAUUUUCCUGUAUUUUAUGGCUAAUAUACACUUACAAGUGAGUACAUACUAAUUGUGUCUUCUUGAAUCUGGGUUACCUCAUUCAAGAUAUUUUUUAGUUAUACCUAUUUGCCUGCAAAUUUCAUGGUGUCUUUGUUUUUAAUAGCUGAAUAGUACUCCCAUUGUGUAAAUCCACAAUGGAACAAUAUCCAUUCUUCAGUUGAGGGACAUCUAGGUUGUUUCUAGUUUCUGGCUAUUAUGGAUAAAACUUCUAUGAACAUAGCUGAGCAAGUGUCCUUGUGGGAUGGUGGAACUUCUUUUAGGUAUAUUCCCA
Molecule: long non-coding RNA, 1398 nt
Filed under: Mus pahari (shrew mouse)
Lineage: Eukaryota; Metazoa; Chordata; Mammalia; Rodentia; Muridae
Description: lncRNA (MGP_PahariEiJ_G0006492.1)
Source: RNAcentral